This 172-nucleotide unclassified non-coding RNA is filed under the name fungal sp. Its description in RNAcentral is "partial internal transcribed spacer region". The stretch from base 1 to 46 matches the Rfam family "Eukaryotic small subunit ribosomal RNA", at positions 1786 to 1831 of the family's 1831-position model. Lineage: Eukaryota; Fungi. The record is from RNAcentral.
AAGUCGUAACAAGGUUUCCGUAGGUGAACCUGCGGAAGGAUCAUUAUUGUAGCACUUUAAUUCAUUUGUGAAGACGACACAAGUUUGUUGGGUAUCGUCCAACAUGAGAUGUUGAUAGAUUAAUAGAUUAAACAAUGGAGAAAAACUUUUGGCAACGGAUCUCUAGGUUCUC